GACGAACGCUGGCGGCGUGGAUUAGGCAUGCAAGUCGAACGGUAUCAUCCUUUCGGGGGUGAGAGAGUGGCGAACUGGUGAGUAACACGUAGGUUAUCUACCCUCAAGACGGGGACAACCCAGGGAAACUUGGGCUAAUACCAGAUGUGAGCAACUUUUAGUUGUUUGAAAGGUGGCGUAAGCUGUCGCUUGGGGAUGAGCCUGCGUCCUAUUAGUUAGUUGGUGAGGUAACGGCUCACCUAGGCAAUGAUAGGUAGGCGGCCUUAACGGGUGGUCGCCCACACUGGGAUUGAGAUACGGCCCAGACUCCUACGGGAGGCAGCAGUCGAGAAUAGUCUACAAUGGUCGGAAGACUGAUAGUGCGACGCCGCGUGAACGAUGAAUCCCUUCGGGUGUAAAGUUCUUUUAUAUGUGAGCAGUGCUUCUUAUAUUAACAGUAUGGGGAGAGAGAUAUUAGCAUAUGAAUAAGCAACGGCUAACUCCGUGCCAGCAGCCGCGGUAAA
Molecule: ribosomal RNA, 503 nt
Filed under: uncultured bacterium
Lineage: Bacteria
Description: bacterial SSU rRNA
Rfam family: Bacterial small subunit ribosomal RNA
Source: RNAcentral